AGAGUUUGAUCCUGGCUCAGAAUGAACGCUGGCGGCAUGCGUAACACAUGCAAGUUGAACGAAGAGUAGCAAUACUCUUAGUGGCAAACGGGUGAGUAACACGUGGGAAUUUGCCUUUUGGUGGGGAAUAACCGUAGGAAACUUCGGAUAAUACCGCAUAACCUUGGAAACAAGAAAAGAUUUAUCGCCAAAAGAUAAGCCCGCGGCAGAUUAGGUAGUUGGUGAGGUAAUGGCUCACCAAGCCUUUGAUCUGUAGCUGGUCUGAGGGGACGAUCAGCCACACUGGGAUUGAGAUACGGCCCAGACUCCUACGGGAGGCAGCAGUGAGGAAUAUUGGACAAUGGGGGAAACCCUGAUCCAGCAAUGCCGCGUGAAUGAAGAAGGCCUUCGGGUCGUAAAGUUCUUUCGCUCGCGAAGAUAAUGACUGUAGCGAGAUAAGAAGUCCG
RNAcentral lists this ribosomal RNA (446 nucleotides) under uncultured Holospora sp. RNAcentral describes it as "bacterial SSU rRNA". It matches the Rfam family "Bacterial small subunit ribosomal RNA", at positions 8 to 494 of the family's 1533-position model. The record is from RNAcentral. Lineage: Bacteria; Pseudomonadati; Pseudomonadota; Alphaproteobacteria; Holosporales; Holosporaceae.